AUCACUCCGCAGUGGCAGUACUGUAGCCAAUGAGGUUUACCCGAGGCGUGAUUAUUGCUAAUUAAAAUCACUGCCUGAAAGAGGUAUAGAAUUUACUAGUUAUAAACCUUCAGUCUGAGUUUCUUUUUUUGGUAUAUGGAA
Molecule: small nuclear RNA, 141 nt
Organism: Lutra lutra (Eurasian river otter)
Lineage: Eukaryota; Metazoa; Chordata; Mammalia; Carnivora; Mustelidae
Product: U4 spliceosomal RNA
Exons: 1
Source: RefSeq, a predicted model, not a curated record